Molecule: long non-coding RNA, 406 nt
Filed under: Mustela putorius furo (domestic ferret)
Lineage: Eukaryota; Metazoa; Chordata; Mammalia; Carnivora; Mustelidae
Description: lncRNA (ENSMPUG00000032091.1)
Source: RNAcentral
CGUCACUGAAGAUUUAGAGGGAAAGUAUGAUGGUGCGGUCACUACAUUUGUUCUUAGAAAGAACUGCAACACCAUCGCACUGGAUAAUGAUGGCUCCGACCCUCAGAAUCUUUCACAAUCUGGUAAGUGGAAUGAACAAGGGAACCAAUUUCUGUGUGUUCGGGGGCUGGUAUCUCAACCUAUUAGAUCCAGCCUGGGAAUAAAACCCAUUUUUAAUGCACCAUUUGAUAAGAACACUUAACCUCAGUAUGUAUUGUAAUUAGAGAGAUAAUUAGAACUCCAAAAGAACCUUUUAAGACUAGGAAUGCAUCUGAAAUUCACCUAGAAUGAAAACCGCAUCAUCUGAGACCAAUCCGAGGUAUUUUCCCUUCCAUCUUUACCUCGCCUCCUCCCCCCAUUCCAAAGA